AUACGUAGGGUGCAAGCGUUAAUCGGAAUUACUGGGCGUAAAGCGUGCGCAGGCGGUUUUGUAAGACAGAGGUGAAAUCCCCGGGCUCAACCUGGGAACUGCCUUUGUGACUGCAAAGCUAGAGUACGGCAGAGGGGGAUGGAAUUCCGCGUGUAGCAGUGAAAUGCGUAGAGAUGCGGAGGAACACCGAUGGCGAAGGCAAUCCCCUGGGCCUGUACUGACGCUCAUGCACGAAAGCGUGGGGAGCAAACAGGAUUAGAUACCCUGGUAGUCCACGCCAUAAACGAUGUCAACUGGUUGUUGGGUCUUCAUUGACUCAGUAACGAAGCUAACGCGUGAAGUUGACCGCCUGGGGAGUACGGCCGCAAGGUUGAAACUCAAAUGAAUUGGCGGGG
RNAcentral lists this ribosomal RNA (395 nucleotides) under uncultured bacterium. Its description in RNAcentral is "partial 16S ribosomal RNA". It matches the Rfam family "Bacterial small subunit ribosomal RNA", at positions 523 to 918 of the family's 1533-position model. The record is from RNAcentral.